This 297-nucleotide ribosomal RNA is filed under the name uncultured eubacterium Wineub115. RNAcentral describes it as "partial 16S small subunit ribosomal RNA". It matches the Rfam family "Bacterial small subunit ribosomal RNA", at positions 37 to 333 of the family's 1533-position model. The record is from RNAcentral.
UGGCGGCGUGCCUAACACAUGCAAGUCGAACGCGUUUCGGGGGGCAACUCCCGAGAUGAGUGACGAACGGGUGAGUAACACGUGGGUAAUCUUCCCCCGAGUGAGGAAUAAGCCCGCGAAAGCGGGUCUAAUACCGCAUGACACUCCGGGACAUAAGUCUUUGGAGUCAAAGCUUUCGGGCGCUUGGGGAUGAGCCUGCGGCCUAUUAGCUAGUUGGUAGGGUAACGGCCUACCAAGGCGAAGAUGGGUAGCUGGCCUGAGAGGGUGUACGGCCACACUGGGACUGCGACACGCCCA